UACGUUGCAUACAUACACAUAUAUGACAUAUAUGUGUGUGUGUUUUCUUUUAAACAAUUGCAAGUUUCCAAAUACAUGCAAAGUAAAUUGAAAGAGUUGAUAGAGUUGCAGCAUUUUUAGAGAAAUAUCAAUGUUUCCCUCAUGCGCUAUUAAUUGUUGGUGACAUAGCUCAUGUAUUAAAGUCUUCUGUCACAGUUGACUCAGCAAGAAUGAAGACAUUGAUACACUUUUGCAUUAUGGAAUACACAAGUUGGCAGUUCCUUACCCACUGCCACCCAAAUACAGGUGGCAUCAGAUUACAAUUGGCAAACAUAAAGCCAUUUUUACAAAGGUUUUCCUAUAAAAGAAAAAAGAAACACUUAAUAAAGUACUUGCUGCAAUUACUUUCAAAAGACUAAAACUGGACAUAUUGUUUUAGAAAAAGCUACGACAUACAAAAAGGCUUUCAGAUCAUUUAAAAAUCACUAAAUGGAAGAACCAUCGGUAAUAUGGAGACGAAGUGAUUAUUAUGUGGCAAAAGAUUAUUUUAUGAAGUUUUUCAUUUUCUGAAUGCGUGAUAGAACUUAUUGGAAUACACUUGUCAUGGACAUGGGAGGAGUAUUGCCGCUACAAGCAUGAACAAUAAUAAAACAUUCCAAAGAACAAUUUGUUAUUUCAACGAUUAGAUUUGUUGUUUAAAUGU
Non-coding RNA from Hydra vulgaris (swiftwater hydra), 682 nucleotides. The record is from RefSeq and is a predicted model, not a curated record. Lineage: Eukaryota; Metazoa; Cnidaria; Hydrozoa; Anthoathecata; Hydridae.